UACGUAGGGUGCAAGCGUUGUCCGGAAUUAUUGGGCGUAAAGAGCUCGUAGGCGGUUCGUCGCGUCGGCUGUGAAAUCCCGAGGCUCAACCUCGGGUCUGCAGUCGAUACGGGCGGACUGGAGUUCGGCAGGGGAGACUGGAAUUCCUGGUGUAGCGGUGAAAUGCGCAGAUAUCAGGAGGAACACCGGUGGCGAAGGCGGGUCUCUGGGCCGAUACUGACGCUGAAGCGCGAAAGCCAGGGGAGCGAACGGG
Molecule: ribosomal RNA, 253 nt
Filed under: uncultured bacterium
Lineage: Bacteria
Description: partial 16S ribosomal RNA
Rfam family: Bacterial small subunit ribosomal RNA
Source: RNAcentral